CACCACAACGGGUGGAGCCUGCGGUUUAAUUGGACUCAACGCCGGGCAGCUCACCGGAUAAGACAGCUGGAUGAUAGCCGGGCUGAAGACUCUGCUUGACUAGCUGAGAGGAGGUGCAUGGCCGUCGUCAGUUCGUACUGUGAAGCAUCCUGUUAAGUCAGGCAACGAGCGAGACCCACGCCAACAGUUGCCAGCAUGUCCUCCGGGAUGAUGGGGACACUGUUGGGACCGCCUCUGCUAAAGAGGAGGAAGGAAUGGGCAACGGUAGGUCAGCAUGCCCCGAAUUAUCCGGGCUACACGCGGGCUACAAUGGUCAGGACAAUGGGUAUCGACACCGAGAGGUGGAGGCAAUCUCCUAAACCUGUCCUUAGUUCGGAUUGUGGGCUGCAACUCGCCCACAUGAAGCUGGAAUCCGUAGUAAUCGCGUUUCAAAUAGCGCGGUGAAUAUGUCCCUGCUCCUU
RNAcentral lists this ribosomal RNA (461 nucleotides) under uncultured Methanolinea sp. RNAcentral's name for it is "bacterial SSU rRNA". It matches the Rfam family "Archaeal small subunit ribosomal RNA", at positions 877 to 1338 of the family's 1478-position model. Lineage: Archaea; Methanobacteriati; Methanobacteriota; Methanomicrobia; Methanomicrobiales; Methanoregulaceae. The record is from RNAcentral.